GAAAGUGGGGCGGCCUCGUGCCGCCACGGGAGGAUGGCAACCCCUCGCGGGAAGCCCGCACUCCCGGGGCGCCCCGGCUUCGGCCGUGGGCGCACUCGGAGCGUACACGUUGGGACCCGAAAGAUGGUGAACUAUGCCUGGUCAGGACGAAGUCAGGGGAAACCCUGAUGGAGGUCCGCAGCGAUUCUGACGUGCAAAUCGAUCGUCAGAGCUGGGUAUAGGGGCGAAAGACUAAUCGAACCAUCUAGUAGCUGGUUCCCUCCGAAGUUUCCCUCAGGAUAGCUGGCGCCCGCUUGGAACGAGACGAGUCUCAUCCGGUAAAGCGAAUGAUUAGAGGCCUUGGGGCCGAAACGACCUCAACCUAUUCUCAAACUUUAAAUGGGUGAGAACUCCGGCUUGCUCGAUUGAAGCCGCGAGGCGGAUCAGGGUGCCAAGUGGGCCAUUUUUGGUAAGCAGAACUGGCGCUGUGGGAUGAACCAAACGCCGGGUUAAGGCGCCUAAACCGGAGCUCAUGGGAGACCAUGAAAGGCGUUGGUUGCUUAAGACAGCAGGACGGUGGCCAUGGAAGUCGGAAGCCGCUAAGGAGUGUGUAACAACUCACCUGCCGAAGCAACUAGCCCUGAAAAUGGAUGGCGCUAAAGCUCCGUGCCUAUACCCGGCCGCCGGAAGGCAUUGGCGCGAGGCGCUCCCUCUCGGGGGGGCGCCGAGCGCACGAAGCCCCGGCGAGUAGGAGGGCGCGGCGGUGUGCGCGGAAGGGUCUGGGCGCGAGCCUGCCUGGAGCCGCCGCCGGUGCAGAUCUUGGUGGUAGUAGCAAAUACUCAAGCGAGGGCCUUGAGGGCUGAUGUGGAGAAGGGUUUCGUGUGAACAGCCGUUGCACACGAGUCAGUCGAUCCUAAGCCCUAGGAGAAAUCCGAUGUCGAUGCGGGGGGCUUAUCAACCGAUCUAACCCCCCUCGAUGGGCGAAAGGGAAUCCGGUUCCUAUUCCGGAACCCGGCAGCGGAACCGAAUCUACGGGCCCUCAUCAGAGAAGCUCGUCGGGGUAACCCAAAGGGACCCGGAGACGCCGUCGGGAGACCCGGGCAGAGUUUUCUGUUCUGCAUAAGCGUUCGAGUUCCCUGGAAUCCUCUAGCAGGGAGAUAGGGUUUGGAACGCGAAGAGCACCGCAGUUGCGGCGGUGUCCGGGUCGUCCCCUCGGACCUUGAAAAUCCGGGAGAGGGUCACGCGGAGGUGUCGCGCCGGCUCGUACCCAUAUCCGCAGCAGGUCUCCAAGGUGAAGAGCCU
RNAcentral lists this ribosomal RNA (1281 nucleotides) under Liturgusa cursor. Its description in RNAcentral is "eukaryotic LSU rRNA". It matches the Rfam family "Eukaryotic large subunit ribosomal RNA", at positions 721 to 1882 of the family's 3401-position model. The record is from RNAcentral. Lineage: Eukaryota; Metazoa; Arthropoda; Insecta; Mantodea; Liturgusidae.